Molecule: ribosomal RNA, 25 nt
Filed under: Sargassum aquifolium
Lineage: Eukaryota; Phaeophyceae; Fucales; Sargassaceae
Description: partial 18S ribosomal RNA
Source: RNAcentral
CGGUGAAGAUUCCGGACCGCGACGC